UACCUCGCUUUAAACAGCAGUACUUUAGCUUUUCCUUGCUAAAAUCUGUUAAACUUCGUGAAAGAUGUAAAAUAGAAUGAAAACGAUCAUAAUAACGCUUAGAAAAGCAGAUUUGCAGUGGAUCAUGAACUUGUGCUGUGGCAAUUUUAGAGGUAAUACAUGCAAACCAGAGUUUCUUCCAGAGAUGGAAGGAACGCUUUUAUUAGAUCAAAGCCAAUCGGUGGCGGGUGGCUCGCCGCUCGUCCAUCGUUUGCUUUGGUGACUCUGAAUAACUUUGUGCUGAUAGCACCGGUCUUUUGUACCGGCGACGCAUCUUUCAAAUGUCUCCCUUAUCAACUGUCGAUGGUAGGUUUUGCGCCUACCAUUGUUGUAACGGGUAACGGGGAAUCAGGGUUCGAUUCCGGAGAGGGAGCCUGAGAAACGGCUACUACAUCCAAGGAAGGCAGCAGGCGCGCAGAUUACCCACUCCCGGCACAGGGAGGUAGUGAUGAAAAAUAACGAUACGGGACUCAUCCGGUGCCCCGUAAUCGGAAUGAGCACAUUUUAAAUCCUUUAACGAGGACCAAUUGGAGGGCAAGUCUGGUGUCAGCAGCCGCGGUAAUUCCAGCUCCAAUAGCGUAUAUUAAAGUUGUUGCGGUUAAAAAGCUCAUAGUUGAAUCUGUGUGUCACAGUGUCGGUCCACCGCUCGCGGUGUCUAAUUGGCAUUAUGUGGUACGUCCUACCGGUGGACUCAGCUCUUCACGGGGCGGUCCUACCAGUUUCCCAUCGCGGUGCUCUUGACUAAGUGUCGAGGUGGGCCGGUACGUUUACUUUGAACAAAUUAGAGUGCUUAAAGCAGUUUACCUUCGCCUGAAUAUUCUGUGCAUGGAAUAAUAAAGUAUGACCUCGGUUCUAUUUUGUUGAUUUUCGGAACAUGUAAUGAUGUAAUGAUGUAAUGAUUAAUAGGGACAGAUAGGGGCAUUCGUAUUGCGACGUUACAGGUGAAAUUCUUGGAUCGUCGCAAGACGGACAGAAGCGAAAGCAUUUGCCAAAAAUGUUUUCAUUAAUCAAGAACGAAAGUUAGAGGUUCGAAGGCGAUCAGAUACCGCCCUAGUUCUAAUCAUAAACGAUGCCAGCUAGCGAUCCGCCGAAGUUCCUCCGAUGACUCGACGAGCAGCUUGCGGGAAACCAAAGCUUUUAGGUUCCGGGGGAAGUAUGGUUGCGAAGCUGAAACUUAAAGGAAUUGACGGAAGGGCACCACCAGGAGUGGAGCCUGCGGCUUAAUUUGACUCAACACGGGAAACCUCACUAGGCCCAGACACUGGAAGGAUUGACAGAUUGAUAGCUCUUUCUUGAUUCGGUGGGUGGUGCCGUUCCUGCAUGGCCGUUCGUGGUUUGAAGAGCGAUUUGUCUGGUUAAUUCCGAUAACGAACGAGACUCUAGCCUGUUAAAUAGACGUAUCUUGUGAUAUCUCGAAGGCCCCCGACUUCGGUCGGUGGGUUUUUACUAUCAAUAUACAAACAAAUCUUCUUAGAGGGACAGGCGGCUUCUAGCCGCACGAAAUUGAGCAGUAACAGGUCUGUGAUGCCUUUAGAUGUCCUGGGCCACACGCGCGCUACACUGCAGGAAUCAGCGUGUUUUCCCUGGCCGAAAGACCCGGGUAACCCGUUGAACCUCCUUCGUGCUAGGGAUUGGGGCUUGCAAUUAUUCCCCAUGGACGAGGAAUUCCCAGUAAGCGUGAGUCAUAAGCUUGCGUUGAUUACGUCCCUGCUCUUUGUACACACCGCUCGUCGCUACUACCGAUUGAAUGAUUUAGUGAGGUCUUCGGAUUGGUGCGCGGCUAAUGUUUCGGCAUUGCCGAUGUUACCAGGAAGAUGAUCAAACUUGAUCACUUAGAGGAAGUAAAAGUCGUAACAAGGUUUCCGUAAGUGAACCGGCGGAAGGAUCAUUA
Non-coding RNA from Habropoda laboriosa, 1930 nucleotides. NCBI's taxonomy places the organism in Eukaryota, Metazoa, Arthropoda, Insecta, Hymenoptera, Apidae. The record is from Rfam.